RNAcentral lists this ribosomal RNA (497 nucleotides) under uncultured bacterium. Its description in RNAcentral is "partial 16S ribosomal RNA". It matches the Rfam family "Bacterial small subunit ribosomal RNA", at positions 28 to 507 of the family's 1533-position model. The record is from RNAcentral.
GAUGAACGCUGGCGGCGUGCCUAAUACAUGCAAGUCGAGCGAACAGACGAGGAGCUUGCUCCUCUGACGUUAGCGGCGGACGGGUGAGUAACACGUGGAUAACCUACCUAUAAGACUGGGAUAACUUCGGGAAACCGGAGCUAAUACCGGAUAAUAUGUUGAACCGCAUGGUUCAAUAGUGAAAGACGGUUUUGCUGUCACUUAUAGAUGGAUCCGCGCUGCAUUAGCUAGUUGGUAAGGUAACGGCUUACCAAGGCAACGAUGCGUAGCCGACCUGAGAGGGUGAUCGGCCACACUGGAACUGAGACACGGUCCAGACUCCUACGGGAGGCAGCAGUAGGGAAUCUUCCGCAAUGGGCGAAAGCCUGACGGAGCAACGCCGCGUGAGUGAUGAAGGUCUUCGGAUCGUAAAACUCUGUUAUUAGGGAAGAACAAAUGUGUAAGUAACUAUGCACGUCUUGACGGUACCUAAUCAGAAAGCCACGGCUAACUACGUG